This 1247-nucleotide ribosomal RNA is filed under the name Clover phyllody phytoplasma. RNAcentral describes it as "bacterial SSU rRNA". It matches the Rfam family "Bacterial small subunit ribosomal RNA", at positions 153 to 1399 of the family's 1533-position model. The record is from RNAcentral. Lineage: Bacteria; Bacillati; Mycoplasmatota; Mollicutes; Acholeplasmatales; Acholeplasmataceae.
GAAACGACUGCUAAGACUGGAUAGGAGACAAGAAGGCAUCUUUUUGUUUUUAAAAGACCUAGCAAUAGGUAUGCUUAGGGAGGAGCUUGCGUCACAUUAGUUAGUUGGUGGGGUAAAGGCUUACCAAGACUAUGAUGUGUAGCCGGGCUGAGAGGUUGAACGGCCACAUUGGGACUGAGACACGGCCCAAACUCCUACGGGAGGCAGCAGUAGGGAAUUUUCGGCAAUGGAGGAAACUCUGACCGAGCAACGCCGCGUGAACGAUGAAGUAUUUCGGUACGUAAAGUUCUUUUAUUAGGGAAGAAUAAAUGAUGGAAAAAUCAUUCUGACGGUACCUAAUGAAUAAGCCCCGGCUAACUAUGUGCCAGCAGCCGCGGUAAUACAUAGGGGGCAAGCGUUAUCCGGAAUUAUUGGGCGUAAAGGGUGCGUAGGCGGUUAAAUAAGUUUAUGGUCUAAGUGCAAUGCUUAACAUUGUGAUGCUAUAAAAACUGUUUAGCUAGAGUAAGAUAGAGGCAAGUGGAAUUCCAUGUGUAGUGGUAAAAUGCGUAAAUAUAUGGAGGAACACCAGUAGCGAAGGCGGCUUGCUGGGUCUUUACUGACGCUGAGGCACGAAAGCGUGGGGAGCAAACAAGAUUAGAUACCCUGGUAGUCCACGCCGUAAACGAUGAGUACUAAAUGUUGGGUAAAACCAGUGUUGAAGUUAACACAUUAAGUACUCCGCCUGAGUAGUACGUACGCAAGUAUGAAACUUAAAGGAAUUGACGGGACUCCGCACAAGCGGUGGAUCAUGUUGUUUAAUUCGAAGGUACCCGAAAAACCUCACCAGGUCUUGACAUGCUUCUGCAAAGCUGUAGAAACACAGUGGAGGUUAUCAGUUGCACAGGUGGUGCAUGGGUUGUCGUCAGCUCGUGUCGUGAGAUGUUGGGUUAAGUCCCGCAACGAGCGCAACCCUUAUUGUUAGUUGCCAGCACGUAAUGGUGGGGACUUUAGCAAGACUGCCAGUGAUAAAUUGGAGGAAGGUGGGGACGACGUCAAAUCAUCAUGCCCCUUAUGACCUGGGCUACAAACGUGAUACAAUGGCUGUUACAAAGGGUAGCUGAAACGCAAGUUUUUGGCGAAUCUCAAAAAAACAGUCUCAGUUCGGAUUGAAGUCUGCAACUCGACUUCAUGAAGUUGGAAUCGCUAGUAAUCGCGAAUCAGCAUGUCGCGGUGAAUACGUUCUCGGGGUUUGUACACACCGCCCGUCA